GGGGCGGGCCGGAGCGGGGGGCGGGGCCUCGUCUGCGCAGGCUCUCCGCAGGGUCGGCCUCGGGGCGGGGCGGGCCCCGGGGCGUGGCCAGCGUCUGCUCUGCCGCUGGACCGCAGCGUCCCGGAGCCGCUGGAGCCCCGGUUUGGACCGCAUCAUUUUUCACCUGGACUGCUGCAGCUGUUCCUAGAGGACCCGUCGUUCUGCCUCCUUUCUCGCUCUCUUCCAUCCAGCUUUCAUGUGCAACUGUGGGAAUCUUUCCCAAAAGCAAAUUUCUGAUGACUGUAUUCACCUGCUUUAAGGACUAGGCUAAAACCCACAUCUCUUCAUCCUUCUAAAAGUCAGAAAGAAGGCUAGGAUGCCCUCCAGCUGUGCCGCUGUUCCCCAGGGUCCUUGGAAGUCCUGGCCAGAGCAACAAGGGGGAGCCCUUGCUGGGAAAACAUAGUCCAGAAGGACAUGGACUUCCGGUAUCGCAAUGCGAGAUCCUUGAGCUGCGGCUCUCGGAAGCAUGAGCCACUUCAUUCUGUCUUCGUGACGUCGAUCCUCAACCAGUUUGAGAGUCUCUUCCUGUGAAAAGGGAUGUGCAUCAGGGCGCGGAGAGCCCCGGCUGGAAGCCCCUCCCACUGCUCCUGAGGCCGCGUGGGCUCACCGCUGCCCCCUCAGGGCAGGCCUCCGACUGCAGGCAGAGCCUGAGGUGCCCAGGGCGGGGCAGCCUGGCCUUCCUGAGACCUCUGGCCUCUCUGCAUGGGAUCCAGCCUCCGUCGUUGUCCAGAGAGGAUAGUCAGAGCCUUGGGCAGCUGCACCUGACCAGCUUGCCUGCUCUGUAUUUUUUUCCUUUAAAAUUUUUGUUUAUUUAUUUUGAGAAUUUCAAUUUCUAUCUUCUGCUUAGGAGAGGCGAGCCGUCGUUUGGACAGAGUCCACAUCUGUCCUGGACUCUCCUGUCACUAGGUUUUUGCCCAAGACUCGGUUGGCAAUGAGCUCCAAGCUCCCGGCCUGGCAAGUCUGCUGGGAAAGAGAGCGUCCUUCCCAGUCAUUCCAGCAAAAGUCUCAGGACUGAGCCCCAUUGUUCUGUCACGGGUCUCGUGACCAUCCCUGGACCAGUCAUUGAGGCUGGGGAGACACAGGGCUCUGAUUGGCCAGCCUGUCAUGAGAGGAGUGGAGUUAAUUCGAACCCCAUCACCUGGGCUGAGAGAUAGAAAGGGGGCUGCCCCAAGGAGAGGGCAGGGCCGUUCCCAGGAGGAGGGAGACGGCCUGCUGGGAAGGGCGCAGUCCACCGACUUCCACAGUAGGUUUUCCUCGAAAUCCCAGAUCCAGGGCUCUUCCAGGUAGGCUGCCAGCGCCUUCUCAUUUUAUUCCCUACCCUGCCCUGAGAGGUCAGCGUUCGAGAGAAGGCCACUGAGGUUCGCACAGAUUAAGCACCUCGCCGGGGUGGGGGGUGGGGGGCAGCUCCUGAAGGGGCCUGGGCUGCCCGUGUGCCCCUUUAUCAUCUUAGACCUGCCUCCCCACUCUUCCUUCUGCCAG
This 1518-nucleotide long non-coding RNA is filed under the name Equus caballus (horse). RNAcentral describes it as "lncRNA (ENSECAG00000039927.2)". The record is from RNAcentral. Lineage: Eukaryota; Metazoa; Chordata; Mammalia; Perissodactyla; Equidae.